AACCCAUGAUGAGGACACCUUCUCAAAAGAUCCUUAAAUCUCUCUCAUGCAUCCUAUAGUGUCUCAAGCUCAAAUUGAGAAAAAGAAGAGAUGUCAUUCCUCAACUU
This is a non-coding RNA of Gossypium hirsutum (cotton), 107 nucleotides long. Lineage: Eukaryota; Viridiplantae; Streptophyta; Magnoliopsida; Malvales; Malvaceae. The record is from Rfam.